GGAUGCGAUCAUACCAGCACUAAAGCACCGGAUCCACUGAGAACUCCGAAGUUAAGCGUGCUUGGGCGAGAGUAGUACUAGGAUGGGUGACCUCCUGGGAAGUCCUCGUGUUGCAUUCC
RNAcentral lists this ribosomal RNA (119 nucleotides) under Hordeum vulgare subsp. vulgare (domesticated barley). Lineage: Eukaryota; Viridiplantae; Streptophyta; Magnoliopsida; Poales; Poaceae. The record is from RNAcentral.